AGGAUCCGAGUUGCCCUAUUUACAUAUAUAAGAGAACCCGCUGGUCAAGACAGCGGAUUCCAACUCCGAGAGGUUCUUCAAAGAAGAGCCAACACCACCAUUAUGUUUUUGGUAUUGUUUUGUGGAGAGAGUUCCAUAUGAUGCUUUUAUGCUUCUUUAUAGACUCACACAUACACAUAUCUAUAUAAUUAUAUACACAUGUCCCUUGUACUAUAACAAAAGUACCUGAUAUUCGAUUUGUUUUAUGAAUUAUAUAUCAUUUGAUUAUAUUUUACUCUCUAGCUCUCGAUUUGAAAAAAACAUUAUGGGUUGAGAAAUAGGGA
Molecule: long non-coding RNA, 323 nt
Organism: Arabidopsis thaliana (thale cress)
Lineage: Eukaryota; Viridiplantae; Streptophyta; Magnoliopsida; Brassicales; Brassicaceae
Product: other RNA
Exons: 1
Source: RefSeq